UACGAAGGGGGCUAGCGUUGCUCGGAAUUACUGGGCGUAAAGCGCACGUAGGCGGCUUUCUAAGUCGGGGGUGAAAUCCUGGAGCUCAACUCCAGAACUGCCUUCGAUACUGGAGAGCUUGAGUCCGGGAGAGGUGUGUGGAACUCCGAGUGUAGAGGUGAAAUUCGUAGAUAUUCGGAAGAACACCAGUGGCGAAGGCGACACACUGGCCCGUUACUGACGCUGAGGCGCGAAAGCGUGGGGAGCAAACAGG
RNAcentral lists this ribosomal RNA (253 nucleotides) under uncultured bacterium. Its description in RNAcentral is "partial 16S ribosomal RNA". It matches the Rfam family "Bacterial small subunit ribosomal RNA", at positions 524 to 776 of the family's 1533-position model. The record is from RNAcentral.